Molecule: ribosomal RNA, 1302 nt
Filed under: metagenome
Description: bacterial LSU rRNA
Rfam family: Bacterial large subunit ribosomal RNA
Source: RNAcentral
CUUGCUUCCGAAGUGAGUGAUACCCUGCUUCCAGGAAAAGCCACUAAGCUUCAGCUUGCAACGACCGUACCGCAAACCGACACUGGUGCGCGAGAUGAGUAUUCUAAGGCGCUUGAGAGAACUCUGGAGAAGGAACUCGGCAAAUUGACACCGUAACUUCGGGAGAAGGUGUGCCUUUAGUAGGUGAAGUCGUACAGACGGAGCCCAAUGAGGCCGCAGAGAAUCGGUGGCUGCGACUGUUUAUUAAAAACACAGCACUCUGCAAAGACGAAAGUCGACGUAUAGGGUGUGACGCCUGCCCGGUGCUGGAAGAUUAAAUGAUGGGGUGCAAGCUCUUGAUUGAAGUCCCAGUAAACGGCGGCCGUAACGAUAACGGUCCUAAGGUAGCGAAAUUCCUUGUCGGGUAAGUUCCGACCUGCACGAAUGGCGUAACGAUGGCCACGCUGUCUCCUCCAGAGACUCAGCGAAGUUGAAAUGUUUGUGAUGAUGCAAUCUCCCCGCGGAAAGACGGAAAGACCCCAUGAACCUUUACUGUAGCUUCACAUUGGACUUUGAACAGAUCUGUGUAGGAUAGGUGGGAGGCUUUGAAGCGAUGCCGCUAGGUGUCGUGGAGCCAACCCUGAAAUACCACCCUGGUGUGUUUGAGGUUCUAACCUUGGCCCGUAAUCCGGGUUGGGGACAGUGUGUGGUGGGCAGUUUGACUGGGGCGGUCUCCUCCCAAAGCGUAACGGAGGAGUUCGAAGGUACGCUAGGCACGGUCGGAAAUCGUGCUGAUAGUGCAUAGGCAUAAGCGUGCUUGACUGCGAGACUGACAAGUCGAGCAGGUACGAAAGUAGGACUAAGUGAUCCGGUGGUUCUGUAUGGAAGGGCCAUCGCUCAACGGAUAAAAGGUACUCUGGGGAUAACAGGCUGAUACCGCCCAAGAGUUCAUAUCGACGGCGGUGUUUGGCACCUCGAUGUCGGCUCAUCUCAUCCUGGGGCUGUAGCCGGUCCCAAGGGUAUGGCUGUUCGCCAUUUAAAGAGGUACGUGAGCUGGGUUUAAAACGUCGUGAGACAGUUUGGUCCCUAUCUUCCGUGGGCGCUGCAAGAUUGAGAGAGCCUGCUCCUAGUACGAGAGGACCGGAGUGGACGCACCUCUGGUGUAUCGGUUGUCACGCCAGUGGCAUUGCCGAGUAGCUAAGUGCGGAAGAGAUAACCGCUGAAAGCAUCUAAGCGGGAAACUCGUCUCAAGAUGAGUCUUGCCGGGGCCUUGAGCCCCCUGAAGAGUCGUUCGAGACCAGGACGUUGAUAGGCCGGGUGUGG